UGCGGAGGAUCAAUACAGUGAAGGUUGCUUGGAGGUUGGUGGGGGUGUUGUUGCCUCUGCUGCUUCUACGUUUACGCUUGCAUGUUUGACAAAGACAGUACCAAUAAGCAACGAGAACUUUUAACAAUGGAUCUCUUGGCUCUUGCACCGAUGAAGAACGCAGUCAAGUGCGAAAAGUGAUGCGAAUUGCACGAAUCUGUGAGUCAUUUAGUAUUUGAACGCAACUUGCGCCGAGCGAUCGGCAUGUCUGGCUGAGUGUGCUGAUCUUGAUGUUGUGAGUGCGAGUGAGCGCUCAUGCGAUGCGGUCCAUAGCACAUGUGAUGUGUGCUUGGACUGGGAUGCAGCAAGCGAGUGUAUCAGUGGGGGUAGGCUGAUUGACAAGUGUCAAGUAUUCUUGCCAGCCAGGCUACUCCUCAUCCACACGCACCUCAGCUCAGGCAAGACUACCCGCUGAACUUAAGCAUAUCAAUAAGCGGAGGAAAGGGCGAAUUCGCGGCCGCUAAAUUCAAUUCGCCCUAUA
This 520-nucleotide unclassified non-coding RNA is filed under the name uncultured fungus. RNAcentral's name for it is "sequence contains 18S rRNA gene, ITS1, 5.8S rRNA gene, ITS2, 28S rRNA gene". The stretch from base 116 to 261 matches the Rfam family "5.8S ribosomal RNA". The record is from RNAcentral. Lineage: Eukaryota; Fungi.